GGGCAGGUACCCAAGUGGCCAAAGGGGACAGACUGUAAAUCUGUUGCACUACGUGCUUCAGGGGUUCAAAUCCUCUCCUGCCCACCA
This 87-nucleotide transfer RNA is filed under the name Candidatus Omnitrophota bacterium. RNAcentral describes it as "Candidatus Omnitrophica bacterium tRNA-Tyr". It matches the Rfam family "tRNA". Rfam says of the family: Transfer RNA (tRNA) molecules are approximately 80 nucleotides in length. Their secondary structure includes four short double-helical elements and three loops (D, anti-codon, and T loops). Lineage: Bacteria; Pseudomonadati; Candidatus Omnitrophota. The record is from RNAcentral.